GUAUUUUCGCUUCAACAGCACAAAUAUUAAAAUUGGAAUAAUACAGAGAAGAUUACUAUGGCCACUGCAUGAGGAUGACAUGCAAAUUCAUGAAGCAUGCCAUAAAAAA
Molecule: small nuclear RNA, 109 nt
Organism: Cebus imitator (Panamanian white-faced capuchin)
Lineage: Eukaryota; Metazoa; Chordata; Mammalia; Primates; Cebidae
Source: Ensembl